This is a non-coding RNA of Equus caballus (horse), 52 nucleotides long. Lineage: Eukaryota; Metazoa; Chordata; Mammalia; Perissodactyla; Equidae. The record is from Rfam.
UGUGUGGUAUAAGUAUGUCCCAUGCAAUAUUUGGGACAUACUUAUACUAAAU